CAGUAGCCGCGGUAAUACGAAGGGGGCUAGCGUUGCUCGGAAUUACUGGGCGUAAAGGGCGCGUAGGCGGACAGUUAAGUUGGGGGUGAAAGCCCGGGGCUCAACCUCGGAAUUGCCUUCAAUACUGGCUGUCUUGAGUACGGGAGAGGUGAGUGGAACUCCGAGUGUAGAGGUGAAAUUCGUAGAUAUUCGGAAGAACACCAGUGGCGAAGGCGACUCACUGGCCCGUUACUGACGCUGAGGCGCGAAAGCGUGGGGAGCAAACAGGAUUAGAUACCCGAGUAGUCCCUGUCUCUUAAAC
Molecule: ribosomal RNA, 301 nt
Filed under: uncultured bacterium
Lineage: Bacteria
Description: partial 16S ribosomal RNA
Rfam family: Bacterial small subunit ribosomal RNA
Source: RNAcentral